This 634-nucleotide ribosomal RNA is filed under the name uncultured Pseudomonadota bacterium. RNAcentral's name for it is "bacterial SSU rRNA". It matches the Rfam family "Bacterial small subunit ribosomal RNA", at positions 69 to 692 of the family's 1533-position model. The record is from RNAcentral. Lineage: Bacteria; Pseudomonadati; Pseudomonadota.
GUAACAGGAAGCAGCUUGCUGCUUCGCUGACGAGUGGCGGACGGGUGAGUAAUGUCUGGGAAGCUGCCUGAUGGAGGGGGAUAACUACUGGAAACGGUAGCUAAUACCGCAUAAUGUCGCAAGACCAAAGAGGGGGACCUUCGGGCCUCUUGCCAUCGGAUGUGCCCAGAUGGGAUUAGCUUGUUGGUGGGGUAACGGCUCACCAAGGCGACGAUCCCUAGCUGGUCUGAGAGGAUGACCAGCCACACUGGAACUGAGACACGGUCCAGACUCCUACGGGAGGCAGCAGUGGGGAAUAUUGCACAAUGGGCGCAAGCCUGAUGCAGCCAUGCCGCGUGUAUGAAGAAGGCCUUCGGGUUGUAAAGUACUUUCAGCGGGGAGGAAGGGAGUAAAGUUAAUACCUUUGCUCAUUGACGUUACCCGCAGAAGAAGCACCGGCUAACUCCGUGCCAGCAGCCGCGGUAAUACGGAGGGUGCAAGCGUUAAUCGGGAUUACUGGGCGUAAAGCGCACGCAGGCGGUUUGUUAAGUCAGAUGUGAAAUCCCCGGGCUCAACCUGGGAACUGCAUCUGAUACUGGCAAGCUUGAGUCUCGUAGAGGGGGGUAGAAUUCCAGGUGUAGCGGUGAAAUGCGUA